Molecule: ribosomal RNA, 373 nt
Filed under: uncultured organism
Description: partial 16S ribosomal RNA
Rfam family: Bacterial small subunit ribosomal RNA
Source: RNAcentral
GUAGGUGGCGAGCGUUGUCCGGAAUUAUUGGGCGUAAAGCGCGCGCAGGCGGUCCUUUAAGUCUGAUGUGAAAGCCCACGGCUCAACCGUGGAGGGUCAUUGGAAACUGGGGGACUUGAGUACAGAAGAGGAAAGCGGAAUUCCAAGUGUAGCGGUGAAAUGCGUAGAGAUUUGGAGGAACACCAGUGGCGAAGGCGGCUUUCUGGUCUGUAACUGACGCUGAGGCGCGAAAGCGUGGGGAGCAAACAGGGAUUAGAUACCCUGGUAGUCCACGCCGUAAACGAUGAGUGCUAAGUGUUAGGGGGUUUCCCGCCCCUUAGUGCUGCAGCUAACGCAUUAAGCACUCCGCCUGGGGAGUACGGCCGCAAGGCUG